RNAcentral lists this ribosomal RNA (425 nucleotides) under uncultured bacterium. Its description in RNAcentral is "partial 16S ribosomal RNA". It matches the Rfam family "Bacterial small subunit ribosomal RNA", at positions 354 to 796 of the family's 1533-position model. The record is from RNAcentral.
GUGGGGAAUAUUGGACAAUGGGCGCAAGCCUGAUCCAGCAAUGCCGCGUGUGUGAAGAAGGUCUUCGGAUCGUAAAGCACUUUCGACGGGGACGAUGAUGACGGUACCCGUAGAAGAAGCCCCGGCUAACUUCGUGCCAGCAGCCGCGGUAAUACGAAGGGGGCUAGCGUUGCUCGGAAUUACUGGGCGUAAAGGGCGCGUAGGCGGCUCUGUGAGUCAGGCGUGAAAUUCCUGGGCUUAACCUGGGGACUGCGCUUGAUACUGCAGGGCUUGAGGCCGAGAGAGGGUGGUGGAAUUCCCAGUGUAGAGGUGAAAUUCGUAGAUAUUGGGAAGAACACCGGUGGCGAAGGCGACCACCUGGCUCGGUACUGACGCUGAGGCGCGACAGCGUGGGGAGCAAACAGGAUUAGAAACCCUGGUAGUCC